RNAcentral lists this ribosomal RNA (410 nucleotides) under Escherichia coli. Its description in RNAcentral is "partial 23S ribosomal RNA". It matches the Rfam family "Bacterial large subunit ribosomal RNA", at positions 1 to 443 of the family's 2925-position model. The record is from RNAcentral. Lineage: Bacteria; Pseudomonadati; Pseudomonadota; Gammaproteobacteria; Enterobacterales; Enterobacteriaceae.
GUUAUAGGGUCAAGCGAACAAGUGCAUGUGGUGGAUGCCUUGGCGAUCACAGGCGAUGAAGGACGCGGUAGCCUGCGAAAAGCUACGGGGAGCUGGCAAACAAGCUUUGAUCCGUAGAUGUCCGAAUGGGGAAACCCACUCCUUUUGGAGUAUCCAUGGCUGAAUACAUAGGCCAUGCGAAGCGAACGCGGUGAACUGAAACAUCUAAGUAACCGCAGGAAAAGAAAUCAACCGAGAUUCCCAAAGUAGUGGCGAGCGAAAUGGGAUGAGCCUUGUACUCUUUAUUUGUAUUGUUAGCCGAACGCUCUGGAAAGUGCGGCCAUAGCGGGUGAUAGCCCCGUAGGCGAAAACAGUAUGAAAGAACUAGGUGUACGACAAGUAGGGCGGGACACGUGAAAUCCUGUCUGAAG